GAUGAAGAACGCAGCGAAAUGCGAUAAGUAAUGUGAAUUGCAGAAUUCAGUGAAUCAUCGAAUCUUUGAACGCACAUUGCGCCCUCUGGUAUUCCGGGGGGCAUGCCUGUUCGAGCGUCAUUAUAACCACUCAAGCUCUCGCUUGGUAUUGGGGUUCGCGGUUUCGCGGCCCCUAAAAUCAGUGGCGGUGCCUGUCGGCUCUACGCGUAGUAAUACUCCUCGCGAUUGAGUCCGGUAGGUCUACUUGCCAGCAACCCCCAAUUUUUACAGGUUGACCUCGGAUCAGGUAGGGAUACCCGCUGAACUUAAGCAUAUCAAUAAGCGGAGGA
RNAcentral lists this unclassified non-coding RNA (329 nucleotides) under soil metagenome. Its description in RNAcentral is "partial contains 5.8S ribosomal RNA, internal transcribed spacer 2, and large subunit ribosomal RNA". The stretch from base 1 to 120 matches the Rfam family "5.8S ribosomal RNA", at positions 35 to 154 of the family's 154-position model. The record is from RNAcentral.